UACAUGGGGUGCAAACGUUGCUCGGAAUUAUUGGGCGUAAAGCGCGCGUAGGCGGUUACUCAAGUCGGAUGUGAAAGCCCUCGGCUUAACUGAGGAAGUGCACCCGAAACUGAGUAGCUAGAGUACCAAAGAGGGUCGCGGAAUUCCCGGUGUAGAGGUGAAAUUCGUAGAUAUCGGGAGGAACACCGGUGGCGAAGGCGGCGACCUGGGUGGAUACUGACGCUGAGACGCGAAAGCGUGGGGAGCAAACAGG
RNAcentral lists this ribosomal RNA (253 nucleotides) under uncultured bacterium. RNAcentral describes it as "partial 16S ribosomal RNA". It matches the Rfam family "Bacterial small subunit ribosomal RNA", at positions 524 to 776 of the family's 1533-position model. The record is from RNAcentral.